GGAUAACUUACCCUUAGGACUGGGAUAACUCUGGGAAACUGGGGAUAAUACUGGAUAUUAGGCUAUGCCUGGAAUGGUUUGCCUUUGAAAUGUUUUUUUCGCCUAAGGAUAGGUCUGCGGCUGAUUAGGUCGUUGGUGGGGUAAUGGCCCACCAAGCCGAUGAUCGGUACGGGUUGUGAGAGCAAGGGCCCGGAGAUGGAACCUGAGACAAGGUUCCAGACCCUACGGGGUGCAGCAGGCGCGAAACCUCCGCAAUGUACGAAAGUGCGACGGGGGGAUCCCAAGUGUUAUGCUUUUUUGUAUGACUUUUCAUUAGUGUAAAAAGCUUUUAGAAUAAGAGCUGGGCAAGACCGGUGCCAGCCGCCGCGGUAACACCGGCAGCUCGAGUGGUAGCUGUUUUUAUUGGGCCUAAAGCGUUCGUAGCCGGUUUGAUAAGUCUUUGGUGAAAGCUUGUAGCUUAACUAUAAGAAUUGCUGGAGAUACUAUUAGACUUGAAGUCGGGAGAGGUUAGAGGUACUACCGGGGUAGGGGUGAAAUCCUAUAAUCCUGGGAGGACCACCUGUGGCGAAGGCGUCUAACUGGAACGAUCUUGACGGUGAGUAACGAAAGCCAGGGGCGCGAACCGGAUUAGAUACCCGGGUAGUCCUGGCCGUAAACGAUGUGGACUUGGUGUUGGAAUGGCUUUGAGUUGUUCCGGUGCC
RNAcentral lists this ribosomal RNA (701 nucleotides) under uncultured archaeon. RNAcentral describes it as "bacterial SSU rRNA". It matches the Rfam family "Archaeal small subunit ribosomal RNA", at positions 102 to 802 of the family's 1478-position model. The record is from RNAcentral.